GACUGAUGCAGCCAUGCCGCGUGUGUGAAGAAGGCCUUCGGGUUGUAAAGCACUUUCAGCGGGGAGGAAGGCGAUGAGGUUAAUAACCUUGUCGAUUGACGUUACCCGCAGAAGAAGCACCGGCUAACUCCGUGCCAGCAGCCGCGGUAAUACGGAGGGUGCAAGCGUUAAUCGGAAUUACUGGGCGUAAAGCGGCACGCAGGCGGGUCUGUCAAGUCGGGAUGUGAAAAUCCCCCGGGCUCGACCUGGGAACUGCAUUUCGAAACUGGGAAGGCUAGAGAUCUUGUACAAGGGGGGUAAAAUUCCCAGGUGUAGGGGGUAAAAUGCUUAAAGAUCCGGAAGAAAUACCGGUGGCCAAAGGCGGCCCUCUGGACAAAAACGGAGGCUUAAGUGCCAAAUGCUUGGGGGGCGCCGGGGUUGGUUCCCCGGGUACUCCCCCCUUAAACCAAUGCGAAUUUGAAGUUUUGCCCUUGAGCUGGGUUUCGAACCAACCCGUUAUUCCCCCCCCGGGGAUUUAGCCCC
Molecule: ribosomal RNA, 522 nt
Filed under: Klebsiella sp.
Lineage: Bacteria; Pseudomonadati; Pseudomonadota; Gammaproteobacteria; Enterobacterales; Enterobacteriaceae
Description: partial 16S ribosomal RNA
Rfam family: Bacterial small subunit ribosomal RNA
Source: RNAcentral